This 266-nucleotide ribosomal RNA is filed under the name uncultured Staphylococcus sp. RNAcentral's name for it is "partial 16S ribosomal RNA". It matches the Rfam family "Bacterial small subunit ribosomal RNA", at positions 96 to 354 of the family's 1533-position model. Lineage: Bacteria; Bacillati; Bacillota; Bacilli; Caryophanales; Staphylococcaceae. The record is from RNAcentral.
CGGCGGACGGGUGAGUAACACGUGGAUAACCUACCUAUAAGACUGGGAUAACUUCGGGAAACCGGAGCUAAUACCGGAUAAUAUAUUGAACCGCAUGGUUCAAUAGUGAAAGACGGUUUUGCUGUCACUUAUAGAUGGAUCCGCGCUGCAUUAGCUAGUUGGUAAGGUAACGGCUUACCAAGGCAACGAUGCGUAGCCGACCUGAAAGGGUGAUCGGCCACACUGGAACUGAGACACGGUCCAGACUCCUACGGGAGGCAGCAGGG